This 465-nucleotide ribosomal RNA is filed under the name uncultured bacterium. RNAcentral describes it as "partial 16S ribosomal RNA". It matches the Rfam family "Bacterial small subunit ribosomal RNA", at positions 28 to 507 of the family's 1533-position model. The record is from RNAcentral.
GACGAACGCUGGCGGCGUGCUUAACACAUGCAAGUCGUACGGUAAGGCCCUUUCGGGGGUACACGAGUGGCGAACGGGUGAGUAACACGUGAGUAACCUGCCCACAACUUUGGGAUAACGCUAGGAAACUGGUGCUAAUACUGGAUAUGUGCUCCUGCUGCAUGGUGGGGGUUGGAAAGCUCCGGCGGUUGUGGAUGGACUCGCGGCCUAUCAGCUUGUUGGUGGGGUAGUGGCCUACCAAGGCGGCGACGGGUAGCCGGCCUGAGAGGGUGACCGGCCACAUUGGGACUGAGAUACGGCCCAGACUCCGACGGGAGGCAGCAGGGGGGAAUAUUGCACAAUGGGCGCAAGCCUGAUGCAGCAACGCCGCGUGCGGGAUGACGGCCUUCGGGUUGUAAACCGCUUUCAGCAGGGAAGAAGCUUUUUGUGACGGUACCUGCAGAAGAAGCACCGGCUAACUACGUG